CAUAAUAACUUACGAAUCGCAUGCCUUUUGCGGGGAUGGUUCAUUCAAAUUUCUGCCCUAUCAACUUUCGAUGGUAGAAUAGUGGUCUACCAUGGUUUCAACGGGUACGGGAAAUUAGGGUUCUAUUCCUGGAGAGGGAGCCUGAGAAACGGUUACCACAUCCAAGGAAGGCAGCAGGCGCGCAAAUUACCCAAUCCCGACACGGGGAGGUAGUGACAAUAAAUACUGAUACAGGGCUCUUUUGGGUCUUGUAAUUGGAAUGAGUACAAUUUAAAUCCCUUAACGAGGAACAAUUGGAGGGCAAGUCUGGUGCCAGCAGCCCGGGUAUUCCAGCUCCAAUAGCGUAUAUUAAGGUUGUUGCAGUUAAAAAGCUCGUAGUUGAACCUUGGGCCUGGUUGGCCGGUUCCGCCUC
RNAcentral lists this ribosomal RNA (412 nucleotides) under uncultured fungus. RNAcentral describes it as "SSU rRNA". It matches the Rfam family "Eukaryotic small subunit ribosomal RNA", at positions 252 to 667 of the family's 1831-position model. Lineage: Eukaryota; Fungi. The record is from RNAcentral.